RNAcentral lists this ribosomal RNA (439 nucleotides) under uncultured Mycoplasmatota bacterium. RNAcentral describes it as "bacterial SSU rRNA". It matches the Rfam family "Bacterial small subunit ribosomal RNA", at positions 920 to 1358 of the family's 1533-position model. The record is from RNAcentral. Lineage: Bacteria; Bacillati; Mycoplasmatota.
GCACCCGCACAAGUGGUGGAGCAUGCUGUUUAAUUCGAAAUACGCGAAGAACCUUACCAGGGCUUGACAUAACACUGAAAGACUUGGAAACAAGUCCCUAUCUUCGGAUACAGUGCUACAGGUGGUGCAUGGUUGUCGUCAGCUCGUGUCGUGAGAUGUUCGGUUAAGUCCGAUAACGAGCGCAACCCUUGUCCUUAAUUGCUAACAUUAAGUUGAGAACCUUAAGGAGACUGCCGGUGACAAAUCGGAGGAAGGUGAGGAUGACGUCAAAUCAUCAUGCCCCUUACGUCCUGGGCUACAGGCGUGCUACAAUGGCAGAUAUAAAAAGUCGCAAUACCGUAAGGUGGAGCUAAUCUUUAAAGUCUGUCUCAGUCCGGAUUGAGGUCUGCAACUCGACCUCAUGAAGUUGGAAUCACUAGUAAUCGCAGAUCAGAAUGCU